Molecule: ribosomal RNA, 253 nt
Filed under: uncultured bacterium
Lineage: Bacteria
Description: partial 16S ribosomal RNA
Rfam family: Bacterial small subunit ribosomal RNA
Source: RNAcentral
UACAGAGGGUGCGAGCGUUGUCCGGAAUUACUGGGCGUAAAGGGCGCGUAGGCGGCGGGAUAAGCGUGUGGUGAAAGCUCGGGGCUCAACUUCGAGUCUGCCAUGCGGACUGUCUUGCUCGAGCGUAGUAGAGGCAGGUGGAAUUCCGGGUGUAGCUGUGGAAUGCGUAGAGAUCCGGAAGAACACCGGUGGCGAAGGCGGCCUGCUGGGCUACUGCUGACGCUGAUGCGCGACAGCGUGGGGAGCAAACAGG